Molecule: ribosomal RNA, 253 nt
Filed under: uncultured bacterium
Lineage: Bacteria
Description: partial 16S ribosomal RNA
Rfam family: Bacterial small subunit ribosomal RNA
Source: RNAcentral
UACAGAGGGUGCUAGCGUUGUUCGGAAUCAUUGGGCGUAAAGGGCGUGUAGGCGGUUUGUUAAGUCAUGUGUGAAAUCCCUCGGCUCAACCGGGGAAGGACGCAUGAAACUGGCAAGCUAGAGUACCAAAGAGGGGGGUGGAAUUCCCGGUGUAGCGGUGAAAUGCGCAGAUAUCGGGAGGAACACCAGUAGCGAAGGCGGCACUCUGGGCCGGUACUGACGCUGAGGAGCGAAAGCGUGGGGAGCGAACAGG